This 257-nucleotide long non-coding RNA is filed under the name Parus major (Great Tit). RNAcentral describes it as "lncRNA (ENSPMJG00000011397.1)". The record is from RNAcentral. Lineage: Eukaryota; Metazoa; Chordata; Aves; Passeriformes; Paridae.
GCCAAUAGAACCUUCCUUUUUUUUUUUUUUUCCUUUAUUUUUUUUACCCCCCACUUCUUACUAGAGAAAUUCGUGUUGCCUCAGCAAUUAAGGAGAAGAGCCAGCAUCUAGGGUUCCAGGCUGUGAGGGGAAGUAGCAACUUGUACCAGUGUCAAUCAGACUGGUACAAAUCUCUUGGAGAAGACAGACAUCAUUCAAGAGGAGUAAAGGUAAAACAGUUGUUCUUACAGGCAACUUGUUUAUUUUGUGAUGUCCUU